This 650-nucleotide ribosomal RNA is filed under the name bacterium enrichment culture clone BIG B-Brut-1. RNAcentral describes it as "bacterial SSU rRNA". It matches the Rfam family "Bacterial small subunit ribosomal RNA", at positions 8 to 677 of the family's 1533-position model. The record is from RNAcentral.
AGAGUUUGAUCAUGGCUCAGAGUGAACGCUGGCGGCGUGCUUAACACAUGCAAGUCGAACGGUAACAGAUACUUCGGUAUGCUGACGAGUGGCGAACGGGUGAGUAAUGUAUAGUUAAUUUGCCUCUUGGAGAGGGAUAGCCAUUGGAAACGAUGAUUAAUACCUCAUACUCCUUAUAUAGUAAAUAUAUAAGGGAAAUGUUUUUUCGCCAAGAGAUAAGACUAUAUGGUAUCAGGUAGUUGGUGGGGUAAGAGCCUACCAAGCCAAUGACGCCUAGCUGGUCUGAGAGGAUGAUCAGCCACACUGGAACUGAGACACGGUCCAGACUCCUACGGGAGGCAGCAGUGGGGAAUAUUGCACAAUGGAGGAAACUCUGAUGCAGCAACGCCGCGUGGAGGAAGAAGCAUUUCGGUGUGUAAACUCCUUUUAUAUAGGAAGAUAAUGAUGGUACUAUAUGAAUAAGCACCGGCUAACUCCGUGCCAGCAGCCGUGGUAAUACGGAGGGUGCAAGCGUUACUCGGAAUCACUGGGCGUAAAGCGCAUGCAGGCGGUUUAUAAAGUCAGAAGUGAAAUCCUACAGCUCAACUGUAGAACUGCUUCUGAAACUCAUGAACUAGAGUCUGGGAGGGGAAGAUGGAAUUAGUAGUGUA